GGCAUGGUGGCUCAGUGGUUAGAGCGCCCGUCUCAUGAACGGGAGGUCGUGGGUUCGAACCCCGGCAGAGUUA
RNAcentral lists this transfer RNA (73 nucleotides) under Strongylocentrotus purpuratus (purple sea urchin). It matches the Rfam family "tRNA". Rfam says of the family: Transfer RNA (tRNA) molecules are approximately 80 nucleotides in length. Their secondary structure includes four short double-helical elements and three loops (D, anti-codon, and T loops). Further hydrogen bonds mediate the characteristic L-shaped molecular structure. tRNAs have two regions of fundamental functional importance: the anti-codon, which is responsible for specific mRNA codon recognition, and the 3' end, to which the tRNAs corresponding amino acid is attached (by aminoacyl-tRNA synthetases). tRNAs cope with the degeneracy of the genetic code in two manners: having more than one tRNA (with a specific anti-codon) for a particular amino acid; and 'wobble' base-pairing, i.e. permitting non-standard base-pairing at the 3rd anti-codon position. Lineage: Eukaryota; Metazoa; Echinodermata; Echinoidea; Camarodonta; Strongylocentrotidae. The record is from Rfam by way of RNAcentral.